AAUAGAAACAUUGUCAUCAUUUACUUUUUGAUGUUAACAUACAAGUGGGGACACCACUGCAAAUCACCUUCAAUAUAUUGCCUUGAACUUCUGCAGAUCUUCAGUGGGUUCUUCUCCUCUCUCGCUCUGAGAUAUAGAAGAUGGUGAUGAUUGGUGGUAAGCAACUGCAGAAGCUUGUGGGAGAUCUCAAAUCGAAACUUAAGAAGCCACUGAAGUCAAAGAAGCCUUACGACAAGAUGAACAAGACUGACAGUAUGAGAGAAGAGAUAAACAGCAGGAAGGCUCAGAAACUUAUAUCUGAGACACUCAAGAUAGCCGACUCCCCUGCAGGCCAUAGGAGCUAUGCUUUUUGAUUAAGGCUUUGUUUGGGACAGUUUUUUAUUGCUUUCUAAAACGGUUUCCUAGCACAAAAAUUUCUAAUUCAAGAAAUUUUUUUACUAGAAAGAUGUUUUAGAAAGCAAAAAUAAAGCUGUCCCAAACUAAGCCUAAACUUGUCCUCGCAAGUGCUUUAGAUUUAUACAGAAAGUUGUUUGGAAGACUCUGUGUUUCAGCUUAACUUCUUAUGAAAUAUGUAAACAGUAAUGAUAAAACUGUAACGCUCUUGAUUUUGUGGCACAGAAGAGUGACCAUGAUCUGCUAUUAAUUAGAGCUCAUUUGGUUAUCUGCAAAUACAAAAUAGUUUUAUAAGAUAAUGUUUUAUUUAUUAUUUA
Dendrobium catenatum is the source of this 710-nucleotide long non-coding RNA. RefSeq lists it as uncharacterized. NCBI's taxonomy places the organism in Eukaryota, Viridiplantae, Streptophyta, Magnoliopsida, Asparagales, Orchidaceae. The transcript is spliced from 2 exons. The record is from RefSeq and is a predicted model, not a curated record.